Molecule: ribosomal RNA, 442 nt
Filed under: uncultured bacterium
Lineage: Bacteria
Description: partial 16S ribosomal RNA
Rfam family: Bacterial small subunit ribosomal RNA
Source: RNAcentral
CCUACGGGAGUCAGCAGUGGGGGAUAUUGGACAAUGGGGGGAACCCUGAUCCAGCGACGCCGCGUGAGUGAAGAAGUAUCUCGGUAUGUAAAGCUCUAUCAGCAGGGAAGAAGAAAUGACGGUACCUGAGUAAGAAGCCCCGGCUAACUACGUGCCAGCAGCCGCGGUAAUACGUAGGGGGCAAGCGUUAUCCGGAUUUACUGGGUGUAAAGGGAGCGUAGACGGCAGUGCAAGUCUGGAGUGAAAGGCGGGGGCUCAACCCCCGGACUGCUCUGGAAACUGUACGGCUGGAGUGCAGGAGAGGUAAGUGGAAUUCCUAGUGUAGCGGUGAAAUGCGUAGAUAUUCGGAGGAACACCGGUGGCGAAGGCGGCCAACUGGGCUUUAACUGACGCUGAGGCUCGAAAGUGUGGGGAGCAAACAGGAUUAGAUACCCGGGUAGUC